This 255-nucleotide ribosomal RNA is filed under the name uncultured bacterium. Its description in RNAcentral is "partial 16S ribosomal RNA". It matches the Rfam family "Bacterial small subunit ribosomal RNA", at positions 524 to 776 of the family's 1533-position model. The record is from RNAcentral.
UACAGGGGGUGCAAACGUUGCUCGGAAUCAUUGGGCGUAAAGCGCACGUAGGCGGUUCGUUAUGUCGGAUGUGAAAGCCCUUGGCUUAACCGAGGAAGUGCAUCCGAAACUGGCGAGCUAGAGUACGAAAGAGGAUCGCGGAAUUCCCGGUGUAGAGGUGAAAUUCGUAGAUAUCGGGAGGAACACCGGUGGCGAAGGCGGCGAUCUGGGUCGAUACUGACGCGUGAGGUGCGAAAGCGGUGGGGAGCAAACAGG